GGCAAGGUGGCCGAGUGGUCUAAGGCGCCAGGUUCAGGUCUACCUGAAUUCACUUGAACAUCAGUUCAAUUUCCUGGUCUCGAAAGGGGCGCGAGUUCGAAUCUCGCCCUUGUCA
Non-coding RNA from Cladorrhinum sp. PSN332, 115 nucleotides. NCBI's taxonomy places the organism in Eukaryota, Fungi, Ascomycota, Sordariomycetes, Sordariales, Podosporaceae. The record is from the annotation of a GenBank genome assembly.